AUGAACGCUGGCGGCGUGCCUAAUACAUGCAAGUCGAGCGAACGGACGAGAAGCUUGCUUCUCUGAUGUUAGCGGCGGACGGGUGAGUAACACGUGGAUAACCUACCUAUAAGACUGGGAUAACUUCGGGAAACCGGAGCUAAUACCGGAUAAUAUUUUGAACCGCAUGGUUCAAAAGUGAAAGACGGUCUUGCUGUCACUUAUAGAUGGAUCCGCGCUGCAUUAGCUAGUUGGUAAGGUAACGGCUUACCAAGGCAACGAUGCAUAGCCGACCUGAGAGGGUGAUCGGCCACACUGGAACUGAGACACGGUCCAGACUCCUACGGGAGGCAGCAGUAGGGAAUCUUCCGCAAUGGGCGAAAGCCUGACGGAGCAACGCCGCGUGAGUGAUGAAGGGCUUCGGAUCGUAAAACUCUGUUAUUAGGGAAGAACAUAUGUGUAAGUAACUGUGCACAUCUUGACGGUACCUAAUCAGAAAGCCACGGCUAACUACGUG
This 496-nucleotide ribosomal RNA is filed under the name uncultured bacterium. RNAcentral describes it as "partial 16S ribosomal RNA". It matches the Rfam family "Bacterial small subunit ribosomal RNA", at positions 29 to 507 of the family's 1533-position model. The record is from RNAcentral.